Molecule: ribosomal RNA, 702 nt
Filed under: Pseudomonas sp.
Lineage: Bacteria; Pseudomonadati; Pseudomonadota; Gammaproteobacteria; Pseudomonadales; Pseudomonadaceae
Description: bacterial SSU rRNA
Rfam family: Bacterial small subunit ribosomal RNA
Source: RNAcentral
AGUCGAGCGGUAGAGAGAAGCUUGCUUCUCUUGAGAGCGGCGGACGGGUGAGUAAUGCCUAGGAAUCUGCCUGGUAGUGGGGGAUAACGUUCGGAAACGAACGCUAAUACCGCAUACGUCCUACGGGAGAAAGCAGGGGACCUUCGGGCCUUGCGCUAUCAGAUGAGCCUAGGUCGGAUUAGCUAGUUGGUGAGGUAAUGGCUCACCAAGGCGACGAUCCGUAACUGGUCUGAGAGGAUGAUCAGUCACACUGGAACUGAGACACGGUCCAGACUCCUACGGGAGGCAGCAGUGGGGAAUAUUGGACAAUGGGCGAAAGCCUGAUCCAGCCAUGCCGCGUGUGUGAAGAAGGUCUUCGGAUUGUAAAGCACUUUAAGUUGGGAGGAAGGGCAGUUACCUAAUACGUAAUUGUUUUGACGUUACCGACAGAAUAAGCACCGGCUAACUCUGUGCCAGCAGCCGCGGUAAUACAGAGGGUGCAAGCGUUAAUCGGAAUUACUGGGCGUAAAGCGCGCGUAGGUGGUUUGUUAAGUUGAAUGUGAAAUCCCCGGGCUCAACCUGGGAACUGCAUCCAAAACUGGCAAGCUAGAGUAUGGUAGAGGGUGGUGGAAUUUCCUGUGUAGCGGUGAAAUGCGUAGAUAUAGGAAGGAACACCAGUGGCGAAGGCGACCACCUGGACUGAUACUGACACUGAGGUGCGAA